This 370-nucleotide ribosomal RNA is filed under the name uncultured bacterium. RNAcentral describes it as "bacterial SSU rRNA". It matches the Rfam family "Bacterial small subunit ribosomal RNA", at positions 28 to 396 of the family's 1533-position model. The record is from RNAcentral.
GAUGAACGCUAGCGGCAGGCUUAAUACAUGCAAGUCGAGGGGUAACAUGGUAGCAAUACUGAUGACGACCGGCAAACGGGUGCGGAACACGUACAGAACCUUCCUUUAAGCGGGGGAUAGCCCGGAGAAAUCCGGAUUAAUACCCCAUAGUAAUGUUUGUUGGCAUCAAUAGACAUUUAAAGAUUUAUCACUUAAAGAUGGCUGUGCGGCUGAUUAGGUAGUUGGUGCGGGUAACGGCCCACCAAGCCAGCGAUCAGUAACUGGUGUGAGAGCACGACCAGUCACACGGGCACUGAGACACGGGCCCGACUCCUACGGGAGGCAGCAGUAAGGAAUAUUGGUCAAUGGACGCAAGUCUGAACCAGCCAUG